AAUCAUUUGUCUUUUAAAUGAAGACUUGUAUGAACGGCAAAACCUCCUCCAACUGUCUCCCCUCCCAUCCUUCCAAAUUUCCUCCUGUGUGAAGAAGCACAGAUACACCAGAAAGACGAGAAGACCCUGUCGAGCUUUAACUACUAAGUGGGCCUUACCCUUUCAGGCACCACCCAAAGGUUUUGGUUGGGGCAACCACGGAGAAAAAACAUCCUCCAGAACGAAUAGAAGAAAGCUUUUCACUAUUAUUACGACUAAGAACCAGGAACUGGUAUUCGGAAAGAGUUACCGCAGGGAUAACAGCGUCAUCUCCUCUAAGAGUCCUUAUUGACGAGGAGGUUUGCGACCUCGAUGUUGGAUUGGGGCCCCCUUAGGGUGCAGAAGCUCUAAACGGUUAGACUGUUCGUCUAUUAAAGCCCUACAUGAUCUGAGUUCAAACCGGAG
RNAcentral lists this ribosomal RNA (444 nucleotides) under Holothuria mammata. RNAcentral's name for it is "partial 16S ribosomal RNA". It matches the Rfam family "Bacterial large subunit ribosomal RNA", at positions 1963 to 2621 of the family's 2925-position model. Lineage: Eukaryota; Metazoa; Echinodermata; Holothuroidea; Aspidochirotida; Holothuriidae. The record is from RNAcentral.